Carassius gibelio (silver crucian carp) is the source of this 1398-nucleotide long non-coding RNA. RefSeq lists it as uncharacterized. The transcript is spliced from 2 exons. Lineage: Eukaryota; Metazoa; Chordata; Actinopteri; Cypriniformes; Cyprinidae. The record is from RefSeq and is a predicted model, not a curated record.
UUCCACGUGGUGUUUGAGUUUCCUCCACUGCUGACGAAUGCUGUUGAUCCAUCAUUCAUUUUUAUGCUUGCCUGAAAUAUACAGUUGCGUUGGAGCAACUUUGGGCUUCUGCUGUGCGUCCCUGACGAUGAUCAUCAGCCACUGGUUUCGGUAACAUGCCUGACACAAAGAAAUAUAAUAUAUUAAUGAAAAAUAUAUUCAUAAAACGUGCAUGUAAAUUUAAAAAUGCAAGUUGGGCCUGGAAACAUUGCCCUUACUUUAAAUGUCCACUAGAUGGAACCAUUUGGAUAACUGUUUGUGUCUUUGUUCAUUGAAGUGUGUGUGUGUGUGUGUGUGUGUGUGUGUGUGUGUGUGUGUGUGUGUGUGUGUGUGUGUGUGUGUGUGUGUGCAUAUAUACUGUAUGCUAUUUGCAUUCUGUCUGGUAACAAUUUAUAUUAUUAUUAUUAUUAUACUAUUAAAUAUGUACCAGAUGCAUGUAAUCCCUCAAAUUAUUCUAGUCCAGUCACUGUUUGCUCAUUGUGUUUCAAUAAUUUCAAAUUUUUUAUAACUGUAAAAGACUAGAUACAGACCAGGUUCAUCAUCAUUUCCGCAGGGCUGACCUUGUGUGGGUUCAUUUUAUCAAGAAUCUUUUUCAGCUGCUCAAACGUCGGCCUCGUGGUCACAUUGUAGUUCCAGCAUCUCUUUAUCAGCUGUGUGAAAUUUGACAAUGAGUGCUUCCAUUUUUUUUUUUUUUUCAUUCCUCUAGCUCAAUUGGUAGAGCAUUGCCAUAUCAAGAGCAAAGUUGGGGGUUCGAUUCCCCGGGAACACAUGAUAGAAAAAAAAAAACAGCCUGAAUGUACAGUAAGUCGCUUUGGAUAAAAGCGUCUGCUAAAUGCAUGAAUUUAAUUUAAUUUUUCCCAUUUAUCCACAGUUAUCAUAUUUUAAUCAGACAUAGUAAAAAUUUCACAUCAGGAAGAAGUUGAUCUUCAAUGAAAAGUUCUGCAAGGAAAGGAAAUAUGCUCAAGUAAAUACAUGCAUCAAUUACAUCCAUACAAACCUCAGUAAUCAUCAGGAUCUGGGCAAUCAUUGUCUGCUUUCCUUGCCUUCAGUUUGGGAAGUGAUGGGCGCCAGAUGACAUCAAGCUUCACUGACUCUGCCUGUUCCUGCUCAUGAAACAAUAAUUGCAUUUCUUAUCAUCACCUAUAAAACGGUCUAAAAAUCCUCAAAUCUUCCUGAUCCUUGUAUACUUACUGAAAUGAGGUCACUGCGAGUGGCAGUUUCCACCAAGAUAAUAGAGUAGCUUGAGGAGACGUAGAAAAGACAAAUGUUUAUUUUACACUUCUUCGAGACAGAGUUUUAUUUGAGAACAAAUUGCUGCUCUGUGAUGCAUCCAUAAAAUAAACAAAGUAUUUACACGUA